GUGUGUGUGUGUGUGUGUGUGUGUGUGUGUGUGCUUUCCAUAGCCCAACUUUUCAUGUAUGCAUGGAUGCAAACAACACAGGAUUUUAAAGUGCUGCUUGUGGCAUUGGUACAAAAAAAUGGCAUUUUUUCUUUUUUUCUUUUUUUGAUACACACGCUUACAGCCAUGUACGCAUCAAUUUUAAAGCACCAAGAAAUCCUGUCUGCCCUCUAAAAUAGGUGGGGGGGAAAUCUUUUGGAGGACAUGAAGUGAUUAAAAGCACUGGGUGUGUUUGGAAUGGCCCGCCGUGAUUCAUUUUUCCUGAAUUAAUUAGAGGAGGUUGCGCUAAAGGGGAUUUUCUCCCUCCUCCUCCUCCUCCCUUUCUCUUCUAUUGUGUUUCCUCAUGACUCUGUCCAAUCGCAUGACGGGCAUUAGCAGCUCUAAGUCACAUCAGCAAAUCCUCUCAGCUCCCUAUGUUGAGACUCUUGUCAGAUUUUCUUUUUUUUUUCAUGUCGGUUUGUCUUGUUUGUUUAGCCUUCUUUAUAUGAGAGCAAAGAAAUAAAAAAAAUUGCACGUCAGAUACUAGAUGAAAAAAACUUUUAUCAAAUGUAUAUUAAGCAAAAUACACAUGACUAUGUGAAUAAUGUGUGAUUACAGGUGAAGAGCGGGUGAGUGUAUUUUGAAUUGUAUGCCCUAAAAUUACUUACAACUUUACGUUUUGUCAUGUCACUAAUGUGUUCAAUACAGAUGCAAAAGGUCACCAUGCAAAUAUAUCGCAUAUGAAAAUAAAUGAAUGUGGAAAACUAAAAAUAAAAGAUAAAAAAAAAAAAAAAAA
Silurus meridionalis is the source of this 814-nucleotide long non-coding RNA. RefSeq lists it as uncharacterized. The record is from RefSeq and is a predicted model, not a curated record. NCBI's taxonomy places the organism in Eukaryota, Metazoa, Chordata, Actinopteri, Siluriformes, Siluridae. The transcript is spliced from 2 exons.